GACGAACGCUGGCGGCGUGCUUAACACAUGCAAGUCGAACGGAGAGUCCCUGCUUUUGUGUGGUGCUCGAAUGGCGAACUGCUUAGUAACACGUGAGUAACCUGCCCUUGAGUUUGCUAUCACUUCAAGAAACUUGGGCUAAGACCGGAUAUGCGCUUCUCGUGCAUGGUGAGGGUUCGAAAUGUUCGGCGGGUAGGGGUGGACUCGCGGCUUAACAGCUUGGUGGUGGGGUAGUGGCUUACCAGGGCUUUGGCCGGUAACCGGCCCGAGAGGUUGCCCGGACACAUUGGGACGGAGAUACGGCCCAGACUCCAACGGGAGGCAAGAGAGGAGAAUAUUGUACAAUGGGAGGGAGCAAGACGCGGCACAGCCGCGUGCGGUAUGAGGGCAUUCGUUUUGUAAACCGCUUCCGCCUGAGACGAAGCGUGAGUGACGGUACUGGGUAAAGAAGCACCGGCUAACUACGUG
Molecule: ribosomal RNA, 468 nt
Filed under: uncultured bacterium
Lineage: Bacteria
Description: partial 16S ribosomal RNA
Rfam family: Bacterial small subunit ribosomal RNA
Source: RNAcentral